RNAcentral lists this ribosomal RNA (278 nucleotides) under Phoroncidia scutula. Its description in RNAcentral is "partial 12S ribosomal RNA". Lineage: Eukaryota; Metazoa; Arthropoda; Arachnida; Araneae; Theridiidae. The record is from RNAcentral.
CGGCAAUUAAAUUCCUAGAGGAACUUGUUUAAUAAUCGACAAUCCACGUUAUUUCUUACUUUUAUUCAAAAUUUAUAUACCGCCAUUACAAGAAUUAAUUUAAAAAUUCAAUUCUAAAUAAUUAUAUAACACAUUAGGUAAAGGUGUAAUCUAUAUAAAAGAAUAAAUGAGUUACAUUAAAUUAAAAUUUAAGAAAAAUUAUAAAACUAUCUUAGGAAAAAGGAUUUAGAAGUAUUAUUAUAUAAUAAUAAUUUAUUUUGAAAUAAAAUUAAUUGUGC